RNAcentral lists this ribosomal RNA (365 nucleotides) under uncultured bacterium. Its description in RNAcentral is "bacterial SSU rRNA". It matches the Rfam family "Bacterial small subunit ribosomal RNA", at positions 28 to 398 of the family's 1533-position model. The record is from RNAcentral.
GACGAACGCUGGCGGCGUGCUUAACACAUGCAAGUCGAGCGGAAAGGCCCUUCGGGGUACUCGAGCGGCGAACGGGUGAGUAACACGUGAGUAACCUGCCCUUGGCUCUGGGAUAGCUCCGGGAAACCGGAAUUAAUACCGGAUAUGACCUCGGCCGACAUCGGCUGUGGUGGAAAGAUUUAUCGGCCAGGGAUGGGCUCGCGGCCUAUCAGCUAGUUGGUGGGGUAACGCCUACCAAGGCGACGACGGGUAGCCGGCCUGAGAGGGCGACCGGCCACACUGGGACUGAGACACGGCCCAGACUCCUACGGGAGGCAGCAGUGGGGAAUAUUGCGCAAUGGGCGGAAGCCUGACGCAGCGACGCC